Molecule: ribosomal RNA, 565 nt
Filed under: uncultured bacterium
Lineage: Bacteria
Description: bacterial SSU rRNA
Rfam family: Bacterial small subunit ribosomal RNA
Source: RNAcentral
CCUACGGGAGGCAGCAGUGGGGAAUUUUACGCAAUGGGGGAAACCCUGACGUAGCGACACCGCGUGAGCGAAGAAGCCCUUUGGGGUGUAAAGCUCUGUCAGCUGGAACGAAAACAAUGACGGUACCAGCAGAGGAAGCAUCGGCUGACUACGUGCCAGCAGCCGCGGUAAGACGUAGGAUGCGAGCGUUGUCCGGAUUUAUUGGGCGUAAAGAGUUCGUAGGUGGUUUGUUAAGUUUGGUGUUAAAGAUCGGGGCUCAACCCUGGGACUGCACCGAAUACUGGCAGACUCGAGUGUGGUAGAGGCUAGUGGAAUUCCCAGUGUAGCGGUGAAAUGCGUAGAUAUUGGGAAGAACACCGGUGGCGUAGGCGACUAGCUGGGCCAUAACUGACGCUGAGGAACGAAAGCCAGGGGAGCGAAUGGGAUUAGAUACCCCAGUAGUCCUGGCCGUAAACGAUGGAUACUAGGCGUAUCGGGUAUCGACCCCUGAUGUGCCGCAGCUAACGCGAUAAGUAUCCCGCCUGAGUAGUACGGCCGCAAGGUUGAAACUCAAAGGAAUUGACGG